This 591-nucleotide ribosomal RNA is filed under the name Triticum aestivum (bread wheat). RNAcentral's name for it is "partial small subunit ribosomal RNA". Lineage: Eukaryota; Viridiplantae; Streptophyta; Magnoliopsida; Poales; Poaceae. The record is from RNAcentral.
AUGGCGGCCGCGCCUCCCCAGCCCACCGUGCCCGCCCCCGCCCCCACGAGCAGCGGCGACGCGUUCCGCCUGGGCUUCGUCGGCGCGGGGAACCUAGCCGAGAGUAUCGCGCGGGGCAUCACGGCGUCGGGCGUCCUCCCGGCCUCCGCCGUCCGCACCGCGCCCCACCACCGCCUCGAGUGCGGCGCCGCCUUCGCCUCCCUCGGAGCCACCAUCCUCGCAUCCAACGCCCAGGUUGUCGACGAUAGCGAUGUGAUCGUCAUCUCCGUCAAGCCCCAGAUUGUGAAGCAGGUUCUGGUUGAGCUCAAGCCCUUGUUGUCUGAAGAAAAGCUUCUGAUCUCCAUUGCCGCUGGCAUCAAAAUGAAAGAUUUGCAGUAUUAUGAAAUAUCAGAGCUAUUCUGUUCUAGCCCUCCUAUCUUUAAUUCCUGGCUGCUGGACUACCUGCAGGACAACGAGUUCAUCUGCGGAAGCUAUCGCUGUGAGCAGUCCGUCUACGACGCGCUCCGUAGCGUCUUUGUCGGGCAUAUCGAGAUCCUCAACGUCUGGAAGGAUAAAGUGAAGAAAAAUAAGAAAAGAUUACUAGAAGAUUAG